ACCGGGGUCCGGUGCGGA
Molecule: non-coding RNA, 18 nt
Filed under: Sus scrofa (pig)
Lineage: Eukaryota; Metazoa; Chordata; Mammalia; Artiodactyla; Suidae
Also listed under: 1 other name
Source: RNAcentral